CGCGUAACAAAGCAAGAAAUCGACCGAGUGACCGCUCGUACCUCGGAAAACUCGUGCAUUAAUGCACUCGUAGGUCAAAGUACCGCCGUGGUUCUGUUUUGGUUUCUAUUGAUUAGUGUGUAAUGGAAAAUUGCUGCACCAAUCACGGAUGCGGACGCAACCAGAGAGGCGGAGCUUCUAGUAUCAACACGCCUUUGCUGUAAAAGUGAUGGGAAGAUCGGAUCAUUUUAGUGACUCGGUUCUUUGAAUCUCAUUUAUGAAAAUGAACGAACGCGCGUCCAGUAGAAAAUAAAGAAUCACUCUUAGAGACGAAUCGUUCUUCUGAGUCACAUUAAAGACUCGUUCAGAAUCAAGGAAUCGUUCAUAACCGACUCAUCACUACUCUGCAUCAUCAGUAAUGAGCUCCGGGAGAAACUCUGUGUUCCAGGUGGAGGAUGAAGACCCUCUGCCGGGAUGGAGCGACUGUAAGACCCCUGUAACGCUCCAUCCAACACUUUAAGUCUCGUAAGGAGCGCGAGACUGAGAGGAACCACCACAUCCAGAGUCCAAACACUUGUCCCUCUGAGAAGUUGGACGCCGACCGCGAGGGGCAGCGUAACUAUUUAGCAUGCCGGAGUCUCGAUCGUUAUCGGAAUUAACCAGGCAAAUUGCUCCACCAACUAAGAACGGCCAUGUACCACCACCCAGCUCAAGUUCCAGCUGUGGAGGAAAAACCAGCUGCAGCUCAAGUUCAAGCUGUGGAGGAGAAACCAGCUGCAGCUCAAGUUCCAGCUGUGGAGGAGAAACCAGCUGCAGCUCAAGUUCCAGCUGUGGAGGAGAAACCAGCACAAGUUUAGAAUUCAGUAAAAGCUCCUUCAGCAUCUGCUUUAGAGGACAACGAGUGAACGUCUCGUCUGCGGCGGUAGAGGACGAUGAGUGGACGUCUCGUCUGUGGCGGUUUGUCAGCACUGGGGUUUGGCUCUGAAGCUGGAAACACACCUGCUCCUAGUCAGAAGAAAUGGUUGGAUCUGUUUUAUAAGAGGGAGAAAUGUCCAGUGCAGGUCCACGACCAGUCGAAACUUUCCGGUGGACCACAGAAACGUCUUUGUGGAUUCCACCCUCCUAAAGUGUUCAUUUCAGACUUUCAGGUCGUAAGUGUUCCACCUGCUGCAAGUGUUCCACCUGCUUUACUCCACUCCUACUGCUGUAGCGCCCCCUACCUCCACCCCCACAUUAUACAGCCUGCACUUUUAUGUCAUUUAAGAAGACCUUUAUAUGUCAUUAUCAUCAUUAUUAUGUUUAAGUUCAUAAUAUACAAUAUGUGUCU
Long non-coding RNA from Silurus meridionalis, 1306 nucleotides. RefSeq lists it as uncharacterized. Lineage: Eukaryota; Metazoa; Chordata; Actinopteri; Siluriformes; Siluridae. The record is from RefSeq and is a predicted model, not a curated record. The transcript is spliced from 5 exons.